Molecule: long non-coding RNA, 572 nt
Organism: Syngnathus typhle (broad-nosed pipefish)
Lineage: Eukaryota; Metazoa; Chordata; Actinopteri; Syngnathiformes; Syngnathidae
Exons: 3
Source: RefSeq, a predicted model, not a curated record
AGUUCAUUCUUUAGACUCUUGAUGAGUUUAGUGUCAAAUUCGGAGGCUGGUAAUCGUCUAAUCGUUUGUUGCGGUAGAGGCGGGUCACAAUACAGACGACGGCAGCCGUAGUGGGUCAAAAAAUCUACCGGUACGGUAUGGUAUAAUGAAGAUUAAAUUGGAUGUGAGUGACUAGAGCUGCUGUCACGAUUCAUAAACGUCUCUGGAGGAACGUGAAAUUGUUGAUUUAAUGAAGAGAAAAUGGAGAGAUGUGUGUGCAAUUAUUUUAAUGCGUGGAGGUAAACAGCCUCCCAUGAUGCAUCUUCAUCCUCCUCCUCAUCAUAUUCAGCAUCAUCAACCCAGUGGCACCUUUAGAAGGCAACAAGAGCCCUCGAAACUGCAGCAUAAAGUGGAUACAAUGGAGAUGCUCAAACUUGUUCUUUUGUUUCUACUGCUGACAAACGUCUUCUGUCUGAAUGGAGACAAGCAGACAAGUCAGAUCAAAAGUGAAAAAUUCGAUUUAAUUGAAGAUAUCUUGGCAAGGAUGGCCAGAAAACCACCAUCACCUCGGCGAUUUUUCAAGAAAAACACCG